GACAGCAAGAAGAUCGAUCUACCAGACGGGCUAUGCGUUGAAAUAUCUCCUGACGGUUGUACAUACCACGAUGGUCUUUGCUUCCAUUGUUUGGUAACUGACGUCUACUACCCCACUAUGGAUGACUGCAAGAGCAAUUGCAACAAAUCCUCGUCUUUACAAGACGUGCUAGUUGCCACGACAACCUCCCCUCCUCCUCCUUUAUCUGCUCCUUAAUUUUCCGGCCUAGACAAUGGUUAUAUGUACAAGAUUGUCCCCUGAAAAUAAUGCCUAUGUGCGGAAACCAGUUAUGCAAUGCGAGUAAUAUACUGCAGCAGUUGUUGCUGAGUAUUUUGGUUUGGCAAAUCACAUUUGAACCUUUACUAGCAAUUGUUGGGAGAGCGAUGAAAUGACUCGCAAGCGCAGAUGCUCCGGAAAUCUGAGUGGUACAGCUUAGCUUGGGAUCUGUGUCGGUUAAAUCUGUGUCACAUAUACGUUUUAGAAUACAGAGGUGAAUACAUCUGCAGAUGGGCUAUACUGGACCAUAGUACUAACUCCUCGCAAAGUCGCAAGUCUCCUCUCUUCAAGUCCAUCGAUGUCCCAUGCAAAAUAAAAUGAAAUAAGUCCAUCGAUCUCUCACUUAAAAAGAGUCCUAUGGCUAUGGAUGACCAGGGAGGCCGCCCUUGGCCAAUAUCAGGCGCCAGUGAGUUCGUCUACCCUGUCAUGGUGGGUUUCUCAUCUAUCCUACCUCUCAUGAGGCGUCCGGUUCUUGUCUUUCCCAAGCUCACAUUAAUAUUCCCAAAUCAGCCCUCGGCCGGCCUUGGCGACAUCAUCCUCAUCCACUCCCGUGCUGCACACACCCAUUUCUCUGAUCUCUUAAAGCAACUCUAGCCGAGCCCAUAAAAGAUACAGGAGUAUUUGGCCGGGUAAACCUUAAUGGAGUAAAUUUAGUCCACUAAGUUUUGGUCGGUUCUAGCUGAUCCCCUAAAUUUAGCGGAGUAAAAUCAAAUUUGGUUAAGAUGAACAUAGAUUCGAUCUAAACAAACUUCUAAACCAAAAUUCGACACAUAAUUUACAUUAUCAUCCGUCGAAACAUAGUUCAAAGCGAUACUAAAACUUGAACUCAAACAUAAGCUAAAAUCUAAAUCUAACCAAAAAAAUUAGUCGCUAUUCGACUUUGCGAGGGAGAGCAAGUCCUCCCUAGAGAUUCCACCGCCCAUGGGGUCAGUCCCUAGGUCGUCUUCGUUGUAUCCAGGAAGGUCCUUCACCACUCCUCGAUGUUGAAGCUGUCAUCGUUGCCGCCUCCACUGCCACCAUUGUUGCCGCCUCCACCGAGCCAGCUCGUCAUCGACCAGCGCCCACGUGCAUCUAGGGAUCAUACAUUCAACAGGGGGUGACUCCAUGAGUCAGGUGAUCCACAAAAACCGCAUGAGCUAGAGUCCGCCAUAUGGCUGUGUGCCCAAUAUCAUUUGUUGCUAAAGAAUGUAUGGAUAGAUGCCAAAGGAACAGCCUCACGUUUCCCGGCACCAGAACUUUCCAUAAACUUUUCCAUGAGCCCUCUUCAGCAGCCGAGGUGGAGGAACCAUCCCUUUGAUCUAAGCAUGACUAUUGGAGAACUAAUUACAAUUAUGAAAUAUACAAAUAUAGACAUAGGAGAUAAGUCCAACCAAAUUUGGGAACUUGUCUAAAAAGGGAGAAAAUUAGUCUGACUUGAUUUUGCUUUUAAUGAGGGUUCAUAAUAUAGGGUGAUAUUAAAUAAUCCAAUUUUAUUGCUUGAUGGUUUACACGGGAUAAGGAUGACCGGUUCUCUCUUCUCUCAAUAUAUACGAUCGACUCAUGUGCUCAUUGGUAACCAAACAUUUCUCAUCGACAACCAAAGUGACCUGAGUGCCUGCGUAGCUAGUGUUGUAUCUGGUUGGCCAUGGACAAGUACACGAUUCGCAUCCUUGCACUAGGAGCCCUAGUGUGUCUACAUCUCGUAUGCUCUGCUACUGUUGCUCAAUGUAAGGCAGCUAGCAUACCAAUAUUUAUGUAUCUUCACAAUGCUUAAUUUUUCUUCACUUGUCCUGGCUGGAAGUAUGUACCUAGUAUAGCUAUCAAAGGCCUUUCUAUUUUGCUUUGUAACUGGUUCCAUCGUUUAUAUGCAUAUAUAUACAUACACACUACUCUAAAAUAAUUGCAUAACGAUGGUUGUUCGUUUGUUAUUACUCCAUAAUAUACAGGCCAAAUCAUGGCUGACANNNNNNNNNNNNNNNNNNNNNNNNNNNNNNNNNNNNNNNNNNNNNNNNNNNNNNNNNNNNNNNNNNNNNNNNNNNNNNNNNNNNNNNNNNNNNNNNNNNNNNNNNNNNNNNNNNNNNNNNNNNCCAUAUGGCUGUGUGCCCAAUAUCAUUUGUUGCUAAAGAAUGUAUGGAUAGAUGCCAAAGGAACAGCCUCACGUUUCCCGGCACCAGAACUUUCCAUAAACUUUUCCAUGAGCCCUCUUCAGCAGCCGAGGUGGAGGAACCAUCCCUUUGAUCUAAGCAUGACUAUUGGAGAACUAAUUACAAUUAUGAAAUAUACAAAUAUAGACAUAGGAGAUAAGUCCAACCAAAUUUGGGAACUUGUCUAAAAAGGGAGAAAAUUAGUCUGACUUGAUUUUGCUUUUAAUGAGGGUUCAUAAUAUAGGAUGAUAUUAAAUAAUCCAAUUUUAUUGCUUGAUGGUUUACACGGGAUAAGGAUGACCGGUUCUCUCUUCUCUCAAUAUAUACGAUCGACUCAUGUGCUCAUUGGUAACCAAACAUUUCUCAUCGACAACCAAAGUGACCUGAGUGCCUGCGUAGCUAGUGUUGUAUCUGGUUGGCCAUGGACAAGUACACGAUUCGCAUCCUUGCACUAGGAGCCCUAGUGUGUCUACAUCUCGUAUGCUCUGCUACUGUUGCUCAAUGUAAGGCAGCUAGCACACCAAUAUUUAUGUAUCUUCACAAUGCUUAAUUUUUCUUCACUUGUCCUGGCUGGAAGUAUGUACCUAGUAUAGCUAUCAAAGGCCUUUCUAUUUUGCUUUGUAACUGGUUCCAUCGUUUAUAUGCAUAUAUAUACAUACACACUACUCUAAAAUAAUUGCAUAACGAUGGUUGUUCGUUUGUUAUUACUCCAUAAUAUACAGGCCAAAUCAUGGCUGACAACGACAGCAAGAAGAUCGAUCUACCAGACGGGCUAUGCGUUGAAAUAUCUCCUGACGGUUGUACAUACCACGAUGGUCUUUGCUUCCAUUGUUUGGUAACUGACGUCUACUACCCCACUAUGGAUGACUGCAAGAGCAAUUGCAACAAAUCCUCGUCUUUACAAGACGUGCUAGUUGCCAUGACAACCUCCCCUCCUCCUCCUUUAUCUGCUCCUUAAUUUUCCGGCCUAGACAAUGGUUAUAUGUACAAGAUUGUCCCCUGAAAAUAAUGCCUAUGUGCGGAAACCAGUUAUGCAAUGCGAGUAAUAUACUGCAGCAGUUGUUGCUGAGUAUUUUGGUUUGGCAAAUCACAUUUGAACCUUUACUAGGAAUUGUUGGGAGAGCGAUGAAAUGACUCGCAAGCGCAGAUGCUCCGGAAAUCUGAGUGGUACAGCUUAGCUUGGGAUCUGUGUCGGUUAAAUCUGUGUCACAUAUACGUUUUAGAAUACAGAGGUGAAUACAUCUGCAGAUGGGCUAUACUGGACCAUAGUACUAACUCCUCGCAAAGUCGCAAGUCUCCUCUGUUCAAGUCCAUCGAUGUCCCAUGCAAAAUAAAAUGAAAUAAGUCCAUCGAUCUCUCACUUAAAAAGAGUCCUAUGGCUAUGGAUGACCAGGGAGGCCGCCCUUGGCCAAUAUCCGGCGCCGGUGAGUUCGUCUACCCUGUCAUGGUGGGUUUCUCAUCUAUCCUACCUCUCAUGAGGCGUCCGGUUCUUGUCUUUCCCAAGCUCACAUUAAUAUUCCCAAAUCAGCCCUCGGCCGGCCUUGGCGACAUCAUCUUCAUCCACUCCCGUGCUGCACACACCCAUUUCUCUGAUCUCUUAAAGCAACUCUAGCCGAGCCCAUAAAAGAUACAGGAGUAUUUGGCCGGGUAAACCUUAAUGGAGUAAAUUUAGUCCACUAAGUUUUGGUCGGUUCUAGCUGAUCCCCUAAAUUUAGCGGAGUAAAAUAAAAUUUGGUUAAGAUGAACAUAGAUUCGAUCUAAACAAACUUCUAAACCGAAAUUCGACACGUAAUUUACAUUAUCAUCCGUCGAAACAUAGUUCAAAGUGAUACUAAAACUUGAACUCAAACAUAAGCUAAAAUCUAAAUCUAACCAAAAAAAUUAGUCGCUAUUCGACUUUGCGAGGGAGAGCAAGUCCUCCCUAGAGAUUCCACCGCCCAUGGGGUCAGUCCCUAGGUCGUCUUCGUUGUAUCCAGGAAGGUCCUUCACCACUCCUCGAUGUUGAAGCUGUCAUCGUUGCCGCCUCCACUGCCACCAUUGUUGCCGCCUCCACCGAGCCAGCUCGUCAUCGACCAGCGCCCACGUGCAUCUAGGGAUCAUACAUUCAACAGGGGGUGACUCCAUGAGUCAGGUGAUCCACAAAAACCGCAUGAGCUAGAGUCCGCCAUAUGGCUGUGUGCCCAAUAUCAUUUGUUGCUAAAGAAUGUAUGGAUAGAUGCCAAAGGAACAGCCUCACGUUUCCCGGCACCAGAACUUUCCAUAAACUUUUCCAUGAGCCCUCUUCAGCAGCCGAGGUGGAGGAACCAUCCCUUUGAUCUAAGCAUGACUAUUGGAGAACUAAUUACAAUUAUGAAAUAUACAAAUAUAGACAUAGGAGAUAAGUCCAACCAAAUUUGGGAACUUGUCUAAAAAGGGAGAAAAUUAGUCUGACUUGAUUUUGCUUUUAAUGAGGGUUCAUAAUAUAGGAUGAUAUUAAAUAAUCCAAUUUUAUUGCUUGAUGGUUUACACGGGAUAAGGAUGACCGGUUCUCUCUUCUCUCAAUAUAUACGAUCGACUCAUGUGCUCAUUGGUAACCAAACAUUUCUCAUCGACAACCAAAGUGACCUGAGUGCCUGCGUAGCUAGUGUUGUAUCUGGUUGGCCAUGGACAAGUACACGAUUCGCAUCCUUGCACUAGGAGCCCUAGUGUGUCUACAUCUCGUAUGCUCUGCUACUGUUGCUCAAUGUAAGGCAGCUAGCAUACCAAUAUUUAUGUAUCUUCACAAUGCUUAAUUUUUCUUCACUUGUCCUGGCUGGAAGUAUGUACCUAGUAUAGCUAUCAAAGGCCUUUCUAUUUUGCUUUGUAACUGGUUCCAUCGUUUAUAUGCAUAUAUAUACAUACACACUACUCUAAAAUAAUUGCAUAACGAUGGUUGUUCGUUUGUUAUUACUCCAUAAUAUACAGGCCAAAUCAUGGCUGACACCGACAGCAAGAAGAUCGAUCUACCAGACGGGCUAUGCGUUGAAAUAUCUCCUGACGGUUGUACAUACCACGAUGGUCUUUGCUUCCAUUGUUUGGUAACUGACGUCUACUACCCCACUAUGGAUGACUGCAAGAGCAAUUGCAACAAAUCCUCGUCUUUACAAGACGUGCUAGUUGCCAUGACAACCUCCCCUCCUCCUCCUUUAUCUGCUCCUUAAUUUUCCGGCCUAGACAAUGGUUAUAUGUACAAGAUUGUCCCCUGAAAAUAAUGCCUAUGUGCGGAAACCAGUUAUGCAAUGCGAGUAAUAUACUGCAGCAGUUGUUGCUGAGUAUUUUGGUUUGGCAAAUCACAUUUGAACCUUUACUAGGAAUUGUUGGGAGAGCGAUGAAAUGACUCGCAAGCGCAGAU
RNAcentral lists this long non-coding RNA (5769 nucleotides) under Triticum aestivum (bread wheat). RNAcentral's name for it is "long non-coding RNA (TAES_LNC011022)". Lineage: Eukaryota; Viridiplantae; Streptophyta; Magnoliopsida; Poales; Poaceae. The record is from RNAcentral.